GACGAACGCUGGCGGCGUGCUUAACACAUGCAAGUCGAACGGAAAGGCCCUGCUCUUGUUGGGUGCUCGAGUGGCGAACGGGUGUGUAACACGUGAGUAACCUGCCCUUGACUUUGGGAUAACUUCAGGAAACUGGGGCUAAUACCGGAUAGGAGCUCCUGCUGCCUGGUGGGGGUUGGAAAGUUUCGGCGGUUGGGGAUGGACGCGCGGCUUAUCAGCUUGUUGGUGGGGUAGUGGCUUACCAAGGCUUUGAAGGGUAGCCGGCCUGGGAGGGUAGCCGGGCACAUGGGGACUGAGAUACGGCCCAGUCUCCUACGUGGGGCAGCAGUGGGGAAUAUUGCACAAUGGGCGGAAGCCUGAUACAGCAACGCCGCGUGCGGGAUGACGGCCUUCGGGUUAUAAACCGCUUUCGCCUGUGACGAAGCGUGAGUGACGGUAAUGGGUAAAGAAGCACCGGCUAACUACGUG
This 468-nucleotide ribosomal RNA is filed under the name uncultured bacterium. RNAcentral describes it as "partial 16S ribosomal RNA". It matches the Rfam family "Bacterial small subunit ribosomal RNA", at positions 28 to 507 of the family's 1533-position model. The record is from RNAcentral.